GACAGAGGAUGCAAACGUUGCUCGGAAUUACUGGGCGUAAAGCGCGCGCAGGCGGUCCUGUAAGUCGGGUGUGAAAUCCCGGGGCUCAACCCUGGAAGUGCACUCGAUACUGCGGGACUUGAGUACUGGAGAGGAGAGCGGAAUUCCCGGUGUAGAGGUGAAAUUCGUAGAUAUCGGGAGGAACACCAGUGGCGAAGGCGGCUCUCUGGACAGAUACUGACGCUGAGGCGCGAAAGCGUGGGAAGCAAACAGG
RNAcentral lists this ribosomal RNA (253 nucleotides) under uncultured bacterium. RNAcentral's name for it is "partial 16S ribosomal RNA". It matches the Rfam family "Bacterial small subunit ribosomal RNA", at positions 524 to 776 of the family's 1533-position model. The record is from RNAcentral.